RNAcentral lists this ribosomal RNA (493 nucleotides) under uncultured bacterium. RNAcentral's name for it is "partial 16S ribosomal RNA". It matches the Rfam family "Bacterial small subunit ribosomal RNA", at positions 28 to 507 of the family's 1533-position model. The record is from RNAcentral.
GACGAACGCUGGCGGCGUGCUUAACACAUGCAAGUCGAACGGUGAAGGGACCGGUUUUUGCUGGUUCUGGAUGAGUGGCGAACGGGUGAGUAACACGUGAGUAACCUGCCCCCUUCUUCUGGAUAACCGCAUGAAAGUGUGGCUAAUACGGGAUAUUCUGCGCCUGCUGCAUGGUGGGUGUGGGAAAGAUAUUGUUUCGGUGGGGGAGGGGCUCGCGGCCUAUCAGCUUGUUGGUGGGGUGAUGGCCUACCAAGGCGGUGACGGGUAGCCGGCCUGAGAGGGUGGACGGUCACACUGGGACUGGAACCCGGCCAGGACACCUACGGGCGUCAGCAGUGCCGAAUAGUGCACAAUGGGCGCAAGCCUGAUGCAGCGACGCCGCGUGAGGGAUGGAGGCCUUCGGGUUGUAAGCCUCUUUCGCCAGUGAAGCAGGCCUGUCCCUUUUGUGGGUGGGUUGACGGUAGCUGGAUACGAAGCGCCGGCUAACUACGUG